AAAAUCAUUUGUUUUUUAAUUGAAAACUGGAAUGAAAGAGUGCAUGAAAUAUAAGUUGUCUCAAUAUAAUUAAUUGAAUUUAAAUUAAAAGUUAAAAUGCUUUUAUAUAUUUAUAAGACGAUAAGACCCUAUAGAAUUUAAUAAAAUUUAUUUUUUAAAAUUAAUAUUUUUAAUAAAAUUUAAUAAAUAAUUAUAUUUUAUUGGGAGGAUAGUUAAAUUAAUUAAACUUUAAUAAUUAGUUAACAUAGAUUAAUGAAUUAUUUGAUUAUUAUUAUAAUUAUUAGAAUAAAUUACCUUA
This 298-nucleotide ribosomal RNA is filed under the name Vespa crabro (European hornet). Its description in RNAcentral is "partial 16S ribosomal RNA". The record is from RNAcentral. Lineage: Eukaryota; Metazoa; Arthropoda; Insecta; Hymenoptera; Vespidae.